Molecule: long non-coding RNA, 539 nt
Organism: Cyphomyrmex costatus
Lineage: Eukaryota; Metazoa; Arthropoda; Insecta; Hymenoptera; Formicidae
Exons: 3
Source: RefSeq, a predicted model, not a curated record
ACUUACUACAUAUCUAUUGAAAACCGUACUGAGAAAACAGAAUAGUUUAGACUAAACAAACAUACUAAAAUGUAAUUUACUCGUCAAAUUCAUUAAAGUGAAAUGGAUAUUACAGGUAUUGAUUGCUAUAUAUGUAUAUAUAUAUAAUUUUAUGCUCAAGGUAGCUACCAAAGAAGUGUUGGCAAUUAAUGCUAGCCAGACAACAACAAGCCAUUGGAUCCAUGCCAUGACUGAUGCAAUCAAUGAACACUUAUAGCGUACAUGGAUAAAAUUCCCAAUGACCGAAGAGGAUUGACAGCGAAUUGUUGAUCCAGAUAUGAAAGUGUUAUCAUUGAUUUAAGAUAUGCAGGUGCACGAAACAAUGCAUACAUUUGAAGUAUGUUUCUAAUUCGUCGUGCUAUAAAAUUUCAUUAUAACAGAGGAGACCGGAGAACUUGGCUGAUCAUUGAGUGAUGCUGGAUCCAUUGGAACCGUGGAUUAUAACACCCUUGAUCAGUUUUCCCGAAGAUACCCGAUAGUUUCAGUACAUGGAACAGCUU